AACGAACGCUGGCGGCAUGCCUAACACAUGCAAGUCGAACGAGACCUUCGGAUCUAGUGGCGCACGGGUGCGUAACGCGUGGGAACCUGCACUUAGGUUCGGAAUAACUCCCCGAAAGGGGUGCUAAUACCGGAUAAUGUCUUCGGACCAAAGAUUUAUCGCCUUUGGAUGGGCCCGCGUUGGAUUAGCUAGUUGGUAGGGUAAAAGCCUACCAAGGCGACGAUCCAUAGCUGGUCUGAGAGGAUGAUCAGCCACACUGGGACUGAGACACGGCCCAGACUCCUACGGGAGGCAGCAGUGGGGAAUAUUGGACAAUGGGCGAAAGCCUGAUCCAGCAAUGCCGCGUGAGUGAUGAAGGCCUUAGGGUUGUAAAGCUCUUUUACCCGGGAUGAUAAUGACAGUACCGGGAGAAUAAGCUCCGGCUAACUCCGUG
This 433-nucleotide ribosomal RNA is filed under the name uncultured bacterium. Its description in RNAcentral is "partial 16S ribosomal RNA". It matches the Rfam family "Bacterial small subunit ribosomal RNA", at positions 29 to 507 of the family's 1533-position model. The record is from RNAcentral.